This 310-nucleotide long non-coding RNA is filed under the name Chrysolophus pictus (golden pheasant). RNAcentral's name for it is "lncRNA (ENSCPIG00010006900.1)". The record is from RNAcentral. Lineage: Eukaryota; Metazoa; Chordata; Aves; Galliformes; Phasianidae.
GGACUGGUGUGUCCUGCUUGAGCUGUUUGCUCUGAACUGGCCCUGCACCAUAGCUGUGUUGCUGCAGAACAGGAAUAAAAGGAAGAUUUUGAUAAUGGAAUUGGUGGUACUUCCCCUUUUGUAAUUGACUGUGAAAGAAUCUGCUAUUGCACCAAGUCCCUCCAUCUGUGAGCCCAAUGAGCUGCGUUUCUAACACUCUUCUGAAAUCAAGUAGGAGCCAAACUAAGGCUACGUUGUUCCAUAAAGCAUAGCAGGGGGUCUUCUAAGGAGGUUUACAAGAAAAAUAAAGACCACUGCAGUUCAUAAAUCA